GACGAACGCUGGCGGCGUGCUUAACACAUGCAAGUCGAACGGAAAGGCCCUGCUUGCAGGGUACUCGAGUGGCGAACGGGUGAGUAACACGUGGGUGAUCUGCCCUGCACUUCGGGAUAAGCCUGGGAAACUGGGUCUAAUACCGGAUAGGAGCCAUUUUUAGUGUGAUGGUUGGAAAGUUUUUUCGGUGUAGGAUGAGCUCGCGGCCUAUCAGCUUGUUGGUGGGGUAAUGGCCUACCAAGGCGGCGACGGGUAGCCGGCCUGAGGGGGUGGACGGCCACAUUGGGACUGAGAUACGGCCCAGACUCCUACGGGAGGCAGCAGUGGGGAAUAUUGCACAAUGGGCGCAAGCCUGAUGCAGCGACGCCGCGUGGGGGAUGACGGCCUUCGGGUUGUAAACUCCUUUCGCUAGGGACGAAGCUUUUUGUGACGGUACCUAGAGAAGAAGCACCGGCUAACUACGUG
RNAcentral lists this ribosomal RNA (465 nucleotides) under uncultured bacterium. RNAcentral describes it as "partial 16S ribosomal RNA". It matches the Rfam family "Bacterial small subunit ribosomal RNA", at positions 28 to 507 of the family's 1533-position model. The record is from RNAcentral.